AUUGUAUAUAUAUUUUUUAUAGAGUAAAGAGACGUGGAGCUUUAAAGAUUUUUAAACAACUAUGUGAUGUAGAAUAUUUAUUGGUGUUGUCACUGUUGUGUGUCACAUUUAUUAAUGUAUAGUUGUGUGCUUGUAUUGUUUGUUAUAGAAUUAGUCCUACAUUAAGCCAAACAAAACUAUUCGCUUCUCGGGUGCUUCCUCAAAAUGUUCAAAUUAAAUGUGACUGUGUUUCUCAUUGAAUAGUGUUGUGUCAGACGGUUUAUAUACACUGUGCUUUUCAGAUUUAUUUCACUAAAUAGGUGGAUCAUUGGUAUCGGGCGUGGAUCCAGCCGUUCUAAAAAGGGGGUUCCCAACCCAGAGUAAAGGGGGGUUCUAACUAUAUGCUCCCAUUCAAAUGCAUUGAUCGGCCAAAAAAAAGGGGGGUUCCAACCCCCAGAACCCUCUGGAUCCCCCACUGGGUAUAUUGUAUUUCCUCAGAUAGAAUUUUCUUAUACUUUGUCAAAAUAAAGAUUUUCCCAAGCUUUUUCGUUAACAUUUUAAAAAGAAUGGGUCAUCUUGGCAUUUUUCAAGCUACAAGUCCUGUAAAAUUGUUCAAAUUUGUAUAGAUUGUCCAUGAAAAAACACUUUUCUUGUGAAUAAAAAGUAAUCUAUGAGAUAGAGUUUUGAAAUAGAAUAUUAGAAGAUAGGUUUUAAAAUAUUUUUAAGAAAAUUAAAAUAAAAGAUGAGUCACCAAUAUUUUCUUGCUAUAAGUUAUAAGUAAAAUUUAAAAAAGAAAAUAUUAUUCCUUUCUAAAAUUUACUAUUUGAUCAAGUUAUCUGCCUUUGAAUAGCCAAGUCUACAAUUUGAUUCAAAUGAACACAAUAAUGCUAUAAAUAAAUUAAAUAAACAAUCUAACACAUAAUUGCCAAUUAUAUGUCUCAAAAUUUGCAAAUCUGAGCAAAGAACUAGACCAAUUGUGAACUGAUAAUUAUAAAACAAGAUGGCGUAAUACAGUUAAUCCAGAGGAGUCAGUUUCACAAAUUACGAUUAAGAUUGAUUGUAAGUUAUGAACAAUUCAGUAUACUUACGAUAAAUCUUAAUCAUAAGUUUUUUUGUGAAAUCGACUCCUGGUACCUUAAUUGAGAUUAAUUCGACUUAUACUGCAGAAACUUUAUGGUUGUGACUUUUAGCAUUUAACAAAGUUUAAAAUAUAUAGAUCUGUCUUUUUCUCCGAAUAAUACCUAGAGAGAAAAAGGAGUACUAUAAACUAUAAAAACAAGACUUUUUGAAUUGCAUACCCCCAAAGCUCUUAUUUUGAUGUGCAGCGUUGAUUUUUGAUAUUAAAUAACAUAAUUUUUCUCAUUUUAGUUAUAAAUAUUCCACUUAAUUUAUUUUGCCUAUGGGGCCAUGGCGCCAACCAUUGUAAGUAGGUCAUCUAUAGAGUUCACUAGCCUUCCAUCACUGAGGUUGUGAGGUGGUACCUGAGAAGCUUAACUUUUUUUCAUAUUUAGCCAAAUUAGAAUGAGUCAUCCGUCUUAUCUUUUGUAUAUUGCAAAGCUAGUUUAUUUCAGUGAAAGUUUGUUUCUUGCCAAAUUAUUCAUUUCUUACACUUUUGAUGGUUUGUGUUUUUAUUUCUAUUCAUGUGUACAUGUAUAUAUUUAGCAUUCAUCCAAAAACAGCUUUAUUUUUAGCAGAUGUAUCGUUACAUCAAUUUGAGUUAUUUUUUCUUUUUGUAAGUUUUAACAAUUUUGAUUUAUAAUUGAAAUUUUCCUUCCCUGAUAUAAUUAAUGUAAUCUUCAUGUUUUCUAAAACUUUAAUUUAUUAUUUCUAGUUAAAAACAGAAAGCUUUUUAUAUAUAAAAUGCAUAAUAAUAUAUUUGCACAGAUCUGGUUCAUUCAAAAGAGUUUCCAGGGGUAGGGGCUAGUGUAUGUGUAAAUUUAGUCGUACAUAUCAACAUAUGAUCAAUAGAAACAUGUUGCUAAACAUAUUUUCUAAUUGGAAUUCAGAUUUAUUGUGGUAUACAGCUUUUAAAAAUUUUCAUGGUUGUGUUAAAGUUUUUAUAGUGUUAGAAAUACUGUAAAUUCAGAAAUUAUUGUGGAAAAUGCACAUUAAUAAGAACUGGCAUUCCAAUAUCUGAUACAUUUAUCUAUGGGCAGAUUUUCCUGCAAUUGCAAUAAAUGAUUUUGCAUUUUUAUCCAUUCUUCACAAAUCGCAAUAAUUUUUGAAGUAGUUUGUUUUUGCGUAUUUUUCUGAAAUUUUCACAAUUGUUUUUGCUGUUUGCAUGCAUCAUUUUCAGAAAUUUUCACAGUUGAUAUUUUUGCUGUUUGAUUCCAUCAUUUCAGAAAUUGUCUGAAUAAAUCGCAUAUGUUUGUCCAUUAAUUAACAGAAGCAUUUAUAAAUGCAUGCAGCAAUUUCAGAAUACUAAUACUGCAUAGCAAAAUAACAUAUCAUAUGGUUCUGGUUAAUAACAAAUUGCUUUGUAUAUUUUUGACAGUAUGUCUGUAGUGAUAUUUGAGUUCAGAACUUGUCUCUGCAUGGUCCGUAUUUUACAAAUUAUUCUGUGUUUGAACAGGGUACAAAAUGUGAUUUACAGUUGGGCAUUUUUAAGUGUAUUUUAUCCAAGGGUUUUUCCACACACUGACUUUUCUGUAAAAUUCCUAGGUGCUUUUCACUGUGUUAUUAUAUUAAAUGUCAGAUUUUUUGCAUUUUAGUAAUAUUCUUGUGCUUUAUAAUGUAUGUAUUAUAUUAGAGAAAGAUUUUUUUUCCACAUCUGUAUUAUAAAAUCUUAUCUUGCCCAAUUAUAUAUCUUUUUUACAUUAUGUUUGCGAUCGUAUAUUUUAUGUUCAUGAAAAAUAUCUUCUAUGUCACAAAUGUAUAAAAUCAAGAUGUCUUUUUAAGGUUGUUUUGUGUUGUUUGAAUGCUGUCUCGUUGACAUUUAACCAUCAGAGAUGAUGUUAAUAAGAAUCCGUCUAAAAACUGGUAUUAAUUGGAACUGUAAAAUACUGAUUCAAGAACUUUUUGAGUAUUUUACUUCCCUGUCGAAUAGAACCUAUUUAGUUUUGGAUAUUAAUAGAAAUAUUUUUUGAGUUACUCAUCCACAAUCACCAGCAUUCCCAGUGAAAAUUCACCACGAAGAGUGAUUUUUAAUUGUAUCAGCUUGUGUUAAUUGUACUUGCCACAAUGUAGAAAAAACACACUUGCCCUUAAAUAUUUGAUAAUAAUUUUCAAAAAAGAGUUCUCGAAAUAAUUUUUUCUCUGGUGUUCCUUUACAAAAAUUCUAUUGAGAAAGCUUAUAGAAAGUGUGGCAUGUACACAGGAACAAAGAGCUUAGAUUAGAAAUAAAUUCUAACAACAAAAUUUAUAUUUGUGGCAGUAAUAAUACCAUAUUUAUAUGCAAAAUAGCAAAUAAUGGAAUUGUUGUUUUCCAGUAAACUAGAAAUAAAGAAACAUAUUGUAUCAAUUUCCGUGUGGAGAUGUCAGUUUCUUUUUAUAUAAUUUUGAAAUGUACAUUGUAUGUUGUUUUGAAAAUAUAUUUGAUCAUUAUUGACAUGUUUUAAACACCAAUAUUAACAUGUAUUGGAUGAUAUUAUAGUGCUUUUAGUAGUUAAUAA
This 3590-nucleotide long non-coding RNA is filed under the name Mytilus galloprovincialis (Mediterranean mussel). Lineage: Eukaryota; Metazoa; Mollusca; Bivalvia; Mytilida; Mytilidae. The record is from RNAcentral.